GGCUCUGUGGUGAAAUUCAUGUUGAGUUGCAAGCUCAUCGAUGUGUGCUAAGAGCGUGCCAGAGCCU
RNAcentral lists this transfer RNA (67 nucleotides) under Pelecanus occidentalis. Its description in RNAcentral is "tRNA-Cys". The record is from RNAcentral. Lineage: Eukaryota; Metazoa; Chordata; Aves; Pelecaniformes; Pelecanidae.